UAAAUAAAUAAAAUCUUAAAAAAGAAAGAAAGAAAGAAAGAAAGAACACUGCAGAGAUGCCUUAAACUUAGCCCUUUCUGUUUCCCUCUGGGAAGAGGAGAGAAGAUGUUCAGAUAACAUGAUGUAAGUUACAAAAACAUGACUGUGUUACUGCUUUUUCCCAACAUUUUCCACAUUAGGGAUUUUCAUUUCCCAACAGUGACAACAGAGUCAAAGGUAUGGAACGGAGGGUGAAGGAAAACGUGUCUUCUUCUUUUUUUUUUUUUUAAAGGAGUAAUUGUCUUCAUUAAAUCUCCCAGAUGCAUUGACAAGUUGAGUUAGUAGGAUCCCCACCAGGGACACUGUAUUCUUCUGUAUUCUUCCCAGAUUUAUAAUCUAGAUCUUUUUUAUUUUUUUCCCUUGUAUCCUUUUCCACUCCAGGCUUAUGCCCAUACCUUUAACUAGUGUUAAGAAUGUUGUUUAUCUCCAGUAAAGGUUUUUAGCUUUAUUAUCCUCUUGGUUAUCUAGAUUAGUGGUUUUUAACCUUGUCUAUACCCUAGAAUUGUAGAGCACUUUUAAACAACUACUGACAUCUGGGUAUACCUCUAGAGGUUGUUUUAGUUUAGGUGGGGCCCAGCCAUUGCUAUAAUUCAAAAUUCUCCCCAGUGAACCAGAUAUGAAGCCAGAGUUAGUAGUACUGACCCAGAGUUAUAAUCCACCUACACACUGGUUUGUAGUUCUGUGCAAGAACCAGUAGGUUAAUUUUUCAUAAGGUAUGAAAACCUGUCAGCCUGUAUCUUUUAAUGGUUAAACUUCGAUUACGUUUCCCCCUUACUCUAUAGUUCUAUUUGGCAGCCAUAGAAUUUUAGAACUGUAGUAUCCAUAGAGAUGAUCCCGCUUAAUUUUGUUACCUAAACCCCAGAGAGGAAAAAACCCUUUCCCACAAUCAGACAUCUUAUAAGUGAAGUACCAGGACUACAACUCCAGAUUCUUCAUGGAAAUGACCAUCUGAAUGGGCAAAGAAACCUAUCUGAAAAAGAGGAAAAAACUGCAAAAAGAGCUCCGAGACAGCAUACGAGCAGACAUCUGACCUGUGGUACAAAACCAAUUACACAAGUGAGUCUGUUUGUUACCCAGAAAAUUAGCUCUUUGGAAACAUCUGAUUGCAGACACUGUGUCUCCAGGACUCUCUACAAGCUGACACAGAGGCUUUAAAGGGCAACUAUACUCAGAGCCAAUUCGCUUAAUUUCAUACAAUAUAUUUUGGGAUUAAGGUUUAAAAUAGUUGGCCAGUGACAUUCAAGAGUACAAAAUCAAUUUUCAAUGUAUUAUAACUUUUACUGGGUAAUCACACUUCCAUUAAGUUUAUAGGGUGUUUAUUUCCAUUUCAGAGACAUGAAUUCCUAAUAUUAUUUCUAGAUGAUCUAUAAAUAACUCUAGAUAUGCUUGCCAGUGCGUUGCUUUGCUUUUGAUGGCAUAAGAUGGAAAACAUAAAUAACAAAGUAUUCCAUUUUCUUAGCCAGAGGAAAGAAUUCUUUUUUUAAUCCAGAAAAUUGUGUAUUACUUUGGAAGCUACAUGCAAAUCAGGUUAUUUAGACACAAUAUCAAAAGGAAAGGUGGUCUCCUAGGGAACUGUUUGCAGUUUAAAUGUUCGGUAUGUUCCUUCUUCAAUUAAAGUGCAGUACAGUAAAGGGACACAUCCCUUGAGUCACCCCUGGUGUUAGAAGUCAUUAGCUUUCCCAAAACCCUAGAAACAGUCUGAGUGGAAACUUUUUGUUGAGGCAGGUAAAAUCUUGGAGGGUAAAUAAAUUUCAGAUUUUAAGAUUCACCAUACAAAUCACAUUUGGGCGGUAAUAUGUUUAAUUUAAUGGUAAGGAAUUCUGUCAAGGGUCAACUUGCUGCCCCAAAAUGAUUUAAGGAAGUCAAUGGAAACUUUAGAAUGAAAAGGUCAGUGAUUGAAGUUAGCUAUUCCAAAUGGCCUUUCUACAAAAACACUUUCUUUUCCAAUACCAAACUUUCUUGAAUAGGCCCAUUCACUAAACUAAAUAAAUGUUGAUAAAUAAUUUGAUAGUCAACUUAACUUUACACCAGUACGAUCCAAUAGAACAUUUGUUUUGCUUUGUGUUUUGGCCUCUCACAAAAUACACUUGGGAAAAGGUUGCCCUAAAUGUAUCAGCUAACAUUCAGCCUAUGCCAUGACUCACUCUGAUCUUACUGUUGGUAACUCUACAACAAAAGCACUCCUUUCCCCGGGAUUUAAAUGUAUUUUUAAAAGUUCCUCAAAAUUUAAGAGUAGUUUGGAGUUCCUUUUUGGAUACCUUAUAUGCAGUCAGGAACCCAGAAUUUCCUCUGAAAUGAUUAUAUAUAUUAACUUCUCUCCAUUCUCUCAGCCUCCAGAGCAAACAGAAACGGCUCUAACAGUCUCAUGCUUCAUCUCCCUACCCCAAUUUCUGUACAGCUCAAUGUCUAAACUAAUCUUGGAGGACACUAGCAGGAGCUACAUCUUCCCAUCAUAUACCUUAUACCGGCAAUGUACUUUCAGCAAAGCAGCAUCAUCCACUGUUUUAAAUUAACAGUUUAUUUUUAUGUUACUGCUUUACAAUCUGCUUUAUAUUAACAUACAGACGCGUGUCCAUUUUGUAUUUGUGUAGAGCUACAAAUACAAAAAGUUUCAUCCCUGUUUUUGUUUAUUCAUUAUUUAAUAUCCAUGAUAAUUUUUUUUUGUCUUUCAUGGAAGUUUCUGGAAGUAUCUUUCAUGUAAAUGCCAGAAACACACUUGGGCAAUAUCUGGCUUUCAUAUACUGUUUUGUGGAAGACCUUGGUACUUAAAAUUGUGGCUUUAUCUAAACAAAACUUUCAAACAGUGGUUUCGGAUGGAGAUUCAGCUGCAUGUCUGACCUUCCCUGAGCACUAGAGAAGCUCUUCUUCACACCACUGCAUUUC
This is a long non-coding RNA of Mustela erminea (ermine), 2922 nucleotides long. RefSeq lists it as uncharacterized. The transcript is spliced from 3 exons. NCBI's taxonomy places the organism in Eukaryota, Metazoa, Chordata, Mammalia, Carnivora, Mustelidae. The record is from RefSeq and is a predicted model, not a curated record.